Aethalodelphis obliquidens (Pacific white-sided dolphin) is the source of this 138-nucleotide long non-coding RNA. RefSeq lists it as uncharacterized. Lineage: Eukaryota; Metazoa; Chordata; Mammalia; Artiodactyla; Delphinidae. The record is from RefSeq and is a predicted model, not a curated record. The transcript is spliced from 3 exons.
UCAUGUCAUCUGCAAAUAAUGACAGUUUUACUUCUUCCUUUCCAAUUUAUAUGCAUGCCUUUAUCUCUUUUUCUUGUCUAAUUGCUGUGGUUAUGACUUCCAAUACUCCUCAUGUUGAAAAAUGUAAUGACAGAGGAG